GACGAACGCUGGCGGCGUGCCUAAUACAUGCAAGUCGAGCGGACAGACAGGGAUUUUGUCCCCUAUACGAGCGGCGCACGGGUGAGUAACACGUGUGCAACCUGCCCUUAACUCUGUGAUAACUUCUGGAAACCGGGGCUAAUACCGGAUAAUACAUUUUGACUCAUGUUGUACAAUAGAAAGAUUCGGUUGUCUUGCACUUACUAGAUGGUUCGCGGCGCAUUAGCUAGGUUGUGAGGUAACGGCUUACCAAGGGAACGAUGCGUUGCCGAACUGAGAGGGUGAUCGGCCACACUGGAACUGAGACACGGACCAGACUCCUACGGGAGGCAGCAGUAGGGAAUCUUCCGCAAUGGACGAAAGUCUGACGGAGCAACGCCGCGUGAGUGAUGAAGGUCUUCGGAUCGUAAAACUCUGUUGUUAGGGAAGAACAACUAUCGAAGUAACUGUAGGUGGCUUGACGGUACCUAAUCAGAAAGCCACGGCUAACUACGUG
Molecule: ribosomal RNA, 496 nt
Filed under: uncultured bacterium
Lineage: Bacteria
Description: partial 16S ribosomal RNA
Rfam family: Bacterial small subunit ribosomal RNA
Source: RNAcentral